CCAGACUCCUACGGGAGGCAGCAGUGGGGAAUAUUGCACAAUGGGGGAAACCCUGAUGCAGCGACGCCGCGUGAAGGACGAAGUAUUUCGGUACGUAAACUUCUAUCAGCAGGGAAGAAAAUGACGGUACCUGACCAAGAAGCCCCGGCUAACUACGUGCCAGCAGCCGCGGUAAUACGUAGGGGGCAAGCGUUAUCCGGAUUUACUGGGUGUAAAGGGAGCGUAGACGGCCAUGCAAGUCUGAUGUGAAAACCCGGGGCUCAACCCCGGGACUGCAUUGGAAACUGUGCGGCUGGAGUGUCGGAGAGGCAAGUGGAAUUCCUAGUGUAGCGGUGAAAUGCGUAGAUAUUAGGAGGAACACCAGUGGCGAAGGCGGCUUGCUGGACGACGACUGACGUUGAGGCUCGAAAGCGUGGGGAGCAAACAGGAUUAGAUACCCCCGUACA
This 446-nucleotide ribosomal RNA is filed under the name uncultured bacterium. RNAcentral's name for it is "bacterial SSU rRNA". It matches the Rfam family "Bacterial small subunit ribosomal RNA", at positions 331 to 794 of the family's 1533-position model. The record is from RNAcentral.